CACAGGAGGCCUUGAAUACCCAGAUCAGGAUCACACAGACACCCAGUGCCACUAAUGGUCUUCCAUAUACCUCUCUCCUCAGGCAGGGAUGCCUGACCCCACCCGGAGCUGACCUCAGAGCUGUGAUCCUGGCAGAGGGCUUUGGCGGGAAUGGGGACCUAAGCUUGAGGUUCCCUCCACCUCUCCUCGGCAGCCAUGGACUGUGAGUCCAUCCCGGAGAAAUCAGUCCUGGUUGGUGAUGCCCAGCGGCCACCGAGGCCUCAUUGCAAACUGUGUUGCUGCUGUCUACUUCCUGCCCGGCAUGGGGGUGAAGGACCAACCUACAGCCAGCCAUGACUCGUCCUCCCCACCUCGCUCUCAGAGCAGAAGAGACCCAGCCCCUGACUCGUUUUGCCAGCGAAGAAACAGUUGCCCAGGAGAGGUGGCGGUGUGCCUCUGUCUCACAGCUCCCACUGAGUCACUUGUCCAACGUGAGGUCGUUUCCUCUCCUUCCCCCGCUGCAGAGAACACAUAGGUUUGCUGUGGGACCGGUGGCGCUGCAGGGCUGGAGAGCCAGGAUCAGGAGGUAUUCUGAUGUCUCUGCCUUUCACUCCUGUUCUGGCUGCCUUUCUCCCAGGGGCCUCUCCUACCCUCCUCCCCCACUGACCUCAAGAAUAAGCCCAACAGUAAGCCUGGCACUAAUCGGGACGCUCCUCCUUGCUGUGGGGGCAGGGAAGGGGACAGGAGACCAGUCUCAGUCCCAGAUGGCUGAGCCUCAGGACACUCCACUGAGGCCUCCUCCCCAAUCUGCAAAGCUCUUCGCCUCCCGGGGGAGCACUAGUGGGUCCUGAACAACAAGCCCAUGUGGCUUGGAAGCAGAGGAUCCUGGUACUGGGAAGCCAGAUGCCUGACUUAUUGCCAAGGCUCUGCAGUGCUUCACCGUGAGACCCGAAACAGAACUGGCCACUCCCUGUGCCUCAGUUUCCUAUCUGGAACCUAGAGGAGGAAUGAGAUCAUCUCUAAGCACGCCUUCUAGUUACAGCAUUCUGUGAUCCAUACCUGUGACCUCUGGGACUCCUCAGGAAGUCUCAAGCAUCGGAGAGUGCUGGGGGAGGGAUCACCCUAACUCCAAGGAGGCAGGGAAGCCCAGGGAGACCUGUAGCUACCCUGGGCUGGCAGGGGGCACUCAUCCUGCUGCAGCCUCCCAGGGAGGAGUCCAGGGUCGGGCAGGAGGCCGGAGGACAGAGGAGAGCUCCUCGGUAUGGCCUCAGGCAGCCCGAGGCCCUCCCCGAUGUCCACACAUACCCCAGAAGCUCACCCCCUCGAGUUUCACUUCCCAUUUCUGUUCCGAGGUUACACAGUCUUUGGUCUAGCCCAGAUCUCAGGCACAGCCCCAAGCCCCCAACACACACCCCCAGUUCCCACAGUUGUCCAGACCCGAUCCCAACUCCUCCUGCCAGGCCAGCCUUCCCACCACCUUCCCAGUUGCUCCCACAGGGAGGCCGGUGGGUGCAGUCCAGCUGCUUGUGCCAAUAGAGACUCCCCUGGCCCUGCAUGGCCAGAGCCUGAUAACAUUCUCCUAAAUUAAACAGUAAACAAGAAGUUGUUUUAGAUUUUCCUGACGCUGCAGUUCCUGAUUAAUCCUCACAGCAAACAAAAGAAAGAGAGAUAAUUAACCUAAAAGAGGGUCACUUCCUGUUUCCAGGUGGAAUCUCUAGCCUGAGCCAGAGGAACCUGUUCAGAGGGGUCCAGCUCCAGAUCACCUCUCCCCUCCCCCGCCUCUCCUGUGUCUGCCCAACCCCGGGCUACACCCUCAGCCUGCCUCCUAGAUCCCACCUAAGCAAGUUGGGAGCAGGCACUCCCGCCUGGGGUUUUCCUGGCUGUGCCUAUGGCUUGCUGGACAGGGGUGGGUGGGGUGGCCGAGGCCUCAGGGCCUUUGCAGAGGACCCUCCCCUCCUCUGCUAUGUGACCUUGGACAGGCCAAGUCACUUCAGAGGCCUCAGUCUGCUCAUCCGUCAGAUUCUUUAUCUCCCAAGGAUAAAAUGAAAAAAAAUUGAGACCACUUAAGAUUAGGCAGAAAUAUUUUAUCUUAUUUUUUAGAGAUCGAUGCUGAAAUAUUUAGGGGUAAAAGGGCUUGAUGUCUAUAAUUUAAAGUACUCUGGAA
Molecule: long non-coding RNA, 2143 nt
Organism: Rhinopithecus bieti (black snub-nosed monkey)
Lineage: Eukaryota; Metazoa; Chordata; Mammalia; Primates; Cercopithecidae
Source: Ensembl